RNAcentral lists this ribosomal RNA (301 nucleotides) under uncultured bacterium. RNAcentral describes it as "partial 16S ribosomal RNA". It matches the Rfam family "Bacterial small subunit ribosomal RNA", at positions 509 to 807 of the family's 1533-position model. The record is from RNAcentral.
CAGUAGCCGCGGUAAUACGAAGGGGGCUAGCGUUGCUCGGAAUGACUGGGCGUAAAGGGCGCGUAGGCGGAUGGCACAGUCAGAUGUGAAAUUCCCGGGCUUAACCUGGGGGCUGCAUUUGAUACGUGUUGUCUAGAGUGAGGAAGAGGGUUGUGGAAUUCCCAGUGUAGAGGUGAAAUUCGUAGAUAUUGGGAAGAACACCGGUGGCGAAGGCGGCAACCUGGUCCUUGACUGACGCUGAGGCGCGAAAGCGUGGGGAGCAAACAGGAUUAGAUACCCCUGUAGUCCCUGUCUCUUAUAC